This 68-nucleotide transfer RNA is filed under the name Mycalesis francisca (lilacine bushbrown). RNAcentral describes it as "tRNA-Glu". Lineage: Eukaryota; Metazoa; Arthropoda; Insecta; Lepidoptera; Nymphalidae. The record is from RNAcentral.
AUUUAUAUAGUUUAACUACAAAACAUUACAUUUUCAAUGUAAAAAUAAAAAAAUAUUUUUUAUAAAUA